This 551-nucleotide ribosomal RNA is filed under the name Pseudomonas sp. hata1. Its description in RNAcentral is "bacterial SSU rRNA". It matches the Rfam family "Bacterial small subunit ribosomal RNA", at positions 136 to 681 of the family's 1533-position model. Lineage: Bacteria; Pseudomonadati; Pseudomonadota; Gammaproteobacteria; Pseudomonadales; Pseudomonadaceae. The record is from RNAcentral. RNAcentral also lists the same sequence under 12 other names.
GUGGGGGACAACGUUUCGAAAGGAACGCUAAUACCGCAUACGUCCUACGGGAGAAAGCAGGGGACCUUCGGGCCUUGCGCUAUCAGAUGAGCCUAGGUCGGAUUAGCUAGUUGGUGGGGUAAUGGCUCACCAAGGCGACGAUCCGUAACUGGUCUGAGAGGAUGAUCAGUCACACUGGAACUGAGACACGGUCCAAACUCAUACGGGAGGCAGCAGUGGGGAAUAUUGGACAAUGGGCGAAAGCCUGAUCCAGCCAUGCCGCGUGUGUGAAGAAGGUCUUCGGAUUGUAAAGCACUUUAAGUUGGGAGGAAGGGCAGUAAGUUAAUACCUUGCUGUUUUGACGUUACCGACAGAAUAAGCACCGGCUAACUCUGUGCCAGCAGCCGCGGUAAUACAGAGGGUGCAAGCGUUAAUCGGAAUUACUGGGCGUAAAGCGCGCGUAGGUGGUUUGUUAAGUUGGAUGUGAAAGCCCCCGGGCUCAACCUGGGAACUGCAUCCAAAACUGGCAAGCUAGAGUACGGUAGAGGGUGGUGGAAUUUCCUGUGUAGCGG